AGCCGCAUGAGAAGAGGAGAGAGUUCACAGAACUAGCACUUAUAUUCUGCUUUUGCAGAGGUAUAUUUGGCUGUUGUGUGAGACAUUC
RNAcentral lists this small nucleolar RNA (88 nucleotides) under Mus spicilegus (steppe mouse). RNAcentral's name for it is "Small nucleolar RNA SNORA75 (ENSMSIG00000014759.1)". Lineage: Eukaryota; Metazoa; Chordata; Mammalia; Rodentia; Muridae. The record is from RNAcentral.